Molecule: ribosomal RNA, 274 nt
Filed under: uncultured bacterium
Lineage: Bacteria
Description: partial 16S ribosomal RNA
Rfam family: Bacterial small subunit ribosomal RNA
Source: RNAcentral
AUACGGAGGGUGCAAACGUUGUUCGGAAUCACUGGGCGUAAAGGGCGCGCAGGCGGUUUGAUUAGUCAGAUGUGAAAGCCCACGGCUUAACCGUGGAAGUGCAUUUGAAACUGUCAGACUUGAGUACCAGAGGGGGUAGUGGAAUUCCCGGUGUAGAGGUGAAAUUCGUAGAUAUCGGGAGGAAUACCGGUGGCGAAGGCGACUACCUGGCUGGAUACUGACGCUGAGGCGCGAAAGCGUGGGGAGCAAACAGGAUUAGAAACCCCGGUAGUCC